AUUCCAGCCCCAAUAGCGUAUACUAAAGUUGUUGCGAUUAAAAAGCUCGUAGUUGGAUCUCAGGCAUGGGCGCACGGUCCGCCUCGCGGCGGUCACUGUGUGAAUUGUUUUCCCAUCCUACGCUUCCCGGUUGUUCAGCCCAUGGUGCUCUUCAUUGAGCGUUUUGGGUGGCCGGAACGUUUACUUUGAAGAAAUUAGAGUGUUCAAAGCAGGCACAUCGCCUGAAUAAUGGUGCAUGGAAUGAUGGAAUAGGACCUCGGUUCUAUUUUGCUGGUUUUCGGAACACGAGGUAAUGAUUAAGAGGGACAGACGGGGGCAUCCGUAUUGCGGUGUUAGAGGUGAAAUUCUUGGAUCAUCGCAAGACGAACAACUGCGAAAGCAUUUGCCAAGCAUGUUUUCAUCA
Molecule: ribosomal RNA, 403 nt
Filed under: Lacuna sp.
Lineage: Eukaryota; Metazoa; Mollusca; Gastropoda; Littorinimorpha; Lacunidae
Description: partial small subunit ribosomal RNA
Rfam family: Eukaryotic small subunit ribosomal RNA
Source: RNAcentral